UACAGAGGUCUCAAGCGUUGUUCGGAUUCAUUGGGCGUAAAGGGUGUGUAGGUGGCGCGCUAAGUCGGGUGUGAAAUUUCGGAGCUUAACUCCGAAACUGCAUUCGAUACUGGCGUGCUUGAGAACUGGAGAGGAGACUGGAAUUCAUGGUGUAGCAGUGAAAUGCGUAGAGAUCAUGAGGAAGACCAGUGGCGAAGGCGGGUCUCUGGACAGUUCCCGACACUGAGACACGAAGGCCAGGGGAGCAAACGGG
RNAcentral lists this ribosomal RNA (253 nucleotides) under uncultured bacterium. RNAcentral's name for it is "partial 16S ribosomal RNA". It matches the Rfam family "Bacterial small subunit ribosomal RNA", at positions 524 to 776 of the family's 1533-position model. The record is from RNAcentral.